Molecule: ribosomal RNA, 373 nt
Filed under: uncultured bacterium
Lineage: Bacteria
Description: bacterial SSU rRNA
Rfam family: Bacterial small subunit ribosomal RNA
Source: RNAcentral
CACGUAAGGGGCGAGCGUUGUUCGGAAUUAUUGGGCGUAAAGGGCGUGCAGGCGGUCAUGUAAGUCUGUUGUGAAAUCCCGGGGCUUAACUCCGGAGGCGCGAUGGAAACUGUGUGACUAGAAUCUUGGAGGGGGAGUUGGAAUUCCUAGUGUAGGGGUGAAAUCUGUUGAUAUUAGGAAGAACACCGGUGGCGAAGGCGAACUCCUGGCCGAAGAUUGACGCUGAGGCGCGAAAGCGUAGGUAGCAAACAGGAUUAGAUACCCUGGUAGUCUACGCUGUAAACGAUGUACACUUGGUGUUGGCCUGUUUAGGGUCAGUGCCGAAGCUAACGCGAUAAGUGUACCGCCUGGGGAGUAUGCCCGCAAGGGUGAA